Molecule: ribosomal RNA, 257 nt
Filed under: uncultured Glomus
Lineage: Eukaryota; Fungi; Glomeromycota; Glomeromycetes; Glomerales; Glomeraceae
Description: partial 18S ribosomal RNA
Rfam family: Eukaryotic small subunit ribosomal RNA
Source: RNAcentral
AAGCUCGUAGUUGAAUUUCGGGAUUAGUACGUCGGUCGUACCUUAGGUACGUACUGGUGUUACUGGUUCCUACCUUCUGACGAACCAUCAUGUCAUUAAUUUGGUGUGGUGGGGAAUCAGGACUUUUACCUUGAGAAAAUUAGAGUGUUCAAAGCAGGCCUAUGCCCGAAUACAUUAGCAUGGAAUAAUAAAAUAGGACGUGCGGUUCUAUUUUGUUGGUUUCUAGAGUCGCCGUAAUGAUUAAUAGGAUAGUUGGG